Molecule: transfer RNA, 66 nt
Filed under: Massilia mucilaginosa
Lineage: Bacteria; Pseudomonadati; Pseudomonadota; Betaproteobacteria; Burkholderiales; Oxalobacteraceae
Description: tRNA-Ser
Source: RNAcentral
GGCGGGGGCAGGAUCAGAGGAUUGAAAAUCCUUGUGCCGGUGGUUCGAUUCCGCCCCGGGCCACCA